ACAUUAGAACCUGAGGCAAUUAUCAGUCCCCCAUCAGAGACCCACUGAAGCAGAGUCUGCAUUUAACAAGAUCCCAAGACCAUGUGUAUGCUUUUAAGGCUGAGAAGCACUGAUAUUUCUGGAGAGUCCCACAUUGUUUCCUGGACUACUUCCCAGAGGUCCUCAGUGACAAAUUGCCCAGAAGAUUCCCGUGGGAGGAGUAUCUCUGAGGCAUCACCUGGAUUUUGCAAUCAGCGGGACCCUGAAUCCCUGCUUGGCUCAGUUUGGUUGUAGCUGGGUCUCUUCAGAAGUCCGAACUCUUUUGGAAAAUGUCAGAAACUGACUUCAAACUGGUUCAAAAACCAUUGUUGGAAAAGUACCUGCCAUGACUUGGGGAAGGCGGAAUUCACUUUGAGAAACACUUAUUUAACUGCUGGGAAGAGCACACAUUUGAUGCAGAUAGAUCAACCUAGUGAUUCGCGCAGCUGGGCACCUUUACAUCCAGGCCCUGGGAGGCCAAGCUGGUCCAUGAGCAGAUUCAUUCCUGCUACACACAGACUGGGGCCUAAUGCAGUUCCAUGUAGCUGCCCUAGCUCACUGCUCCUCAGGGGCCAGCCUGGAUGGUCACCUGCACUGCCUGAUGCACUGGGAGUCCACCAUCAGCCACCAGGGGAUGAGAAGAUUAUCUCAGGGAUUGGGAUUCCCUCCAUCAGGCUGUGGUAGGAAUGGUGAGGACUAGACAUCAGGGGCAUUGUAUAUUGUCUCCCCUAUAGAUUUUGGGUGGAAAAUGACUUUGGAAUGUGAAAGAUCUGCAAUUGAACUCCAGCACCACCAUUUCUUAGCUCUGUGGCUACAGGCAAGCACUCAUACUUAUGGGCCUCAGUGUCCUCAUCUAUCAAAAGGGAAUAAUUGUAUAGAGGAGAGAUUUGUGUGCAGCUUAAACAAGAGAGUAUGUAUAAAGCAGCUAGCACAGUGUUAGACUUUCAUUUACUCAACAAAUGCUGAUGAAGUGCCUGUCACGUGGCAGGUGCU
This is a long non-coding RNA of Pipistrellus kuhlii (Kuhl's pipistrelle), 1011 nucleotides long. RefSeq lists it as uncharacterized. NCBI's taxonomy places the organism in Eukaryota, Metazoa, Chordata, Mammalia, Chiroptera, Vespertilionidae. The record is from RefSeq and is a predicted model, not a curated record. The transcript is spliced from 5 exons.